This 74-nucleotide transfer RNA is filed under the name Peptoniphilus asaccharolyticus. Its description in RNAcentral is "tRNA-Cys". It matches the Rfam family "tRNA". Rfam says of the family: Transfer RNA (tRNA) molecules are approximately 80 nucleotides in length. Their secondary structure includes four short double-helical elements and three loops (D, anti-codon, and T loops). Further hydrogen bonds mediate the characteristic L-shaped molecular structure. tRNAs have two regions of fundamental functional importance: the anti-codon, which is responsible for specific mRNA codon recognition, and the 3' end, to which the tRNAs corresponding amino acid is attached (by aminoacyl-tRNA synthetases). tRNAs cope with the degeneracy of the genetic code in two manners: having more than one tRNA (with a specific anti-codon) for a particular amino acid; and 'wobble' base-pairing, i.e. permitting non-standard base-pairing at the 3rd anti-codon position. RNAcentral also lists the same sequence under 4 other names. Lineage: Bacteria; Bacillati; Bacillota; Tissierellia; Tissierellales; Peptoniphilaceae. The record is from RNAcentral.
GGCGACAUAGCCAAGUGGUAAGGCACGGGUCUGCAACACCCUUAUCGCCAGUUCGAAUCUGGCUGUCGCCUCCA